GCCCUGAUGGCGCAGCGGAUAGCGCACCUGAUUACGGAUCAGGGGGUCGCAGGUUCAAAUCCUGUUCGGGGCAC
RNAcentral lists this transfer RNA (74 nucleotides) under Actinoplanes sp. NBRC 103695. RNAcentral describes it as "tRNA-Arg". It matches the Rfam family "tRNA". From Rfam's summary of the family: Transfer RNA (tRNA) molecules are approximately 80 nucleotides in length. Their secondary structure includes four short double-helical elements and three loops (D, anti-codon, and T loops). The record is from RNAcentral. Lineage: Bacteria; Bacillati; Actinomycetota; Actinomycetes; Micromonosporales; Micromonosporaceae.